This 436-nucleotide ribosomal RNA is filed under the name uncultured microorganism. RNAcentral describes it as "bacterial SSU rRNA". It matches the Rfam family "Bacterial small subunit ribosomal RNA", at positions 9 to 435 of the family's 1533-position model. The record is from RNAcentral.
GAGUUUGAUCAUGGCUCAGGACGAACGCUGGCGGCGUGCCUAAUACAUGCAAGUCGAGCGGAUCUUCAUUAGCUUGCUUUUGAAGAUCAGCGGCGGACGGGUGAGUAACACGUGGGCAACCUGCCUGUAAGACUGGGAUAACUUCGGGAAACCGGAGCUAAUACCGGAUAAUCCUUUUCCUCUCAUGAGGAAAAGCUGAAAGACGGUUUCGGCUGUCACUUACAGAUGGGCCCGCGGCGCAUUAGCUAGUUGGUGAGGUAACGGCUCACCAAGGCGACGAUGCGUAGCCGACCUGAGAGGGUGAUCGGCCACACUGGGACUGAGACACGGCCCAGACUCCUACGGGAGGCAGCAGUAGGGAAUCUUCCGCAAUGGACGAAAGUCUGACGGAGCAACGCCGCGUGAGCGAUGAAGGCCUUCGGUCGUAAAGCGUCUG